UCUGAAUCUGGCGUACGGCUCCGCAAACCAGUUGUAAACUAUAGCAAGUUCGCCCCGGUGCUGGCCGUAAGGUUGGUGCUGGGGUUAAAUGGAUAACCGUGGUAAUUCUGAGGCUAAUACAUGAACGUACCCCCUGAUCAACUGGGUAACCGGGAGGUUGGGGACAGUGCGGUCAGUCGCAGAUAUUGCUGGGAAUAGACGCACUUUCAAACCACCAUACCAAACGGUUGGGGUGCUGACCUUCGGGGAGGCGCCCUUUCUGGGUGGGCCUUGCUUUGUGCUUCUGACCUAUCAACUAGAUGGCAGCGUAACGGACAUGCUAUGGUACAACGGUACAGAG
Molecule: ribosomal RNA, 340 nt
Filed under: Fuligo septica var. flava
Lineage: Eukaryota; Evosea; Eumycetozoa; Physariida; Physaraceae
Description: SSU rRNA
Rfam family: Eukaryotic small subunit ribosomal RNA
Source: RNAcentral